CUGCCUGCCAAUUACCAUCUACAACUAUCAUAGCAUCAGAAAUUGAACUGACACCUGAAACUUCAUUUUUAAGCUUGACUGGAGGAUACUGCGGCCGCAGCAUUAGUUGUUUUUUGUCCUUCGACUUCCCAACGUUAUAUGGGGGCAUUUGGAACAGCUUCAUCCAAGUCAGUUCUGUAACAUCAGGGAUUGAAACGAUUAACAUGCAUUUGUAGAUGUACCAACAGACUUACCUGAAAACACCUAAUAUCUCUAUUUACAAAACAAGAAAGCUUUUUGUCCUUCAACUUCCCAACGUUAUAUGGGGGCAUUUGGAACAGCCUCAUCCAAGUCAGUUCUGUAACGUCAGGGAUUGAAACGAUUAACAUGCAUUUGUAGAUGUACCAACAGACUUACCUGAAAACACCUAAUAUCUCUAUUUA
RNAcentral lists this long non-coding RNA (422 nucleotides) under Nicotiana benthamiana. Its description in RNAcentral is "long non-coding RNA (NBEN_LNC012308)". Lineage: Eukaryota; Viridiplantae; Streptophyta; Magnoliopsida; Solanales; Solanaceae. The record is from RNAcentral.